CAUCAACAUGAGAGCAUUAGCAGCAG
Molecule: non-coding RNA, 26 nt
Filed under: Mus musculus (house mouse)
Lineage: Eukaryota; Metazoa; Chordata; Mammalia; Rodentia; Muridae
Source: RNAcentral